This 224-nucleotide long non-coding RNA is filed under the name Gallus gallus (chicken). Lineage: Eukaryota; Metazoa; Chordata; Aves; Galliformes; Phasianidae. The record is from RNAcentral.
UGGGCCGGGGUUGCAGCAGAGCAUGGGCACGGCUGCAAGGCUGCUGAGUGCACGGCUGCUGCUCACUGCGCACGGGCAUGGCCUCGGGUCCGGGGUCUCACCUGCGUGCCCCGCGGGCUCAUCCGGCGCAGCGCAGCACGGCGAGACCCGGAGGUGCCACGGAGGUCCGCUGUGCCGGCGGUGCUGCCGCACGCGGCGGGGCGAGGGCAGCUGUUUUCGAGACA